Molecule: long non-coding RNA, 1727 nt
Organism: Paramisgurnus dabryanus
Lineage: Eukaryota; Metazoa; Chordata; Actinopteri; Cypriniformes; Cobitidae
Source: RefSeq, a predicted model, not a curated record
UAAUUCGUUACACCUACAUUACUGAGCGCAAGGGAGUGCAGCCAACAAAUACAUUCAGGUGUGUUCGACUUAACACCGAGAUGCGCAGACAGCACGUGGUAUGACAUCAAAGUACCGCGAGAGUUUGGGAAAGCCCCGGAAAAGGUUUGAUCUCGCGGUACUUGAUGUCACGAUCGGUUUGCGUGUAGAUCAGCAUGAAGUAGAACACAUCUGAAAGAUGUGUGGGCUGCCUGCACUCAACGUUGCGAUAAUUCAGUAGAGUGUAACCUCAAUCGGUUUUUGCAGCUUCUGGGUGUCGUGUCGAACGAUCGCAGAACGAUUUUUUGUUCUUUUCCAACUCGAUUUUUAACUCCCUAGACUAGUAGGAUGUUCCAACGGGUGAAGCAACAGUGCUGACGGCAGAGUUUCAGUGUCAAUUUUUCAUGCCAUGCUCACUGGGGCGGAAACCAUUAUGACGUUGCCUUGGACAUCAAACUAAACCAUCUCAUUCUGGCUUUUUUCUAACAUCGAAAUCUCAGAAGGCCAGGACUAAGAUGGACGCAGCCUCCACAUGCAACCUUGCAUUUGAGGAACACCCAUAGAACGGUCAACUUACCCCAUACUCUAACCUGAAUGCAGGGAUCAUAAAACUUUAUCUUUUACCUUAAUUGUUAGAUGGGUGUUGAUACCAAACUUUUUUGUCUCGUCUACCCAGGAGAAAGUCAUGGGUUCUGCUGCUGAGGUUGUCAUAAAGCAUGCUUUUUCCAUUUGUUGCAUUGGGCAAUAUUAUCAAAAGAUUCUGAAAGAAAUAAGAUAAUUUUCAAAGCAUUAACAUGAAUAUGAAAGCAUUAAGUCAUUAAUGAUCAUCUUUUAUUAUUGUUUAUUUAUAGUGUCUUUUAUUCUGCUUACCUGACUCAUGCAGAAUUCUGGCUUGAUGUUUGGUCCACCUGUUAGCUGGCUCUGGUGCUUGGUAGUCUUCUCAAACCUCUGAAUCAAGGCCACCAUGAGAGGCCUUCUGAAGACCAUCAUUACGCUUCAGAUCCAGUUGUCUUAACUAUGAGCCUACCACAAUCCCUGUGCACCAGCUAUGGAAAGUGCAGACCAAACUUCUACCUCCACCUAUAGAACUGAACUGGAGUCUGUGAACUAAUGCUGUGUUCGAGACAACUGGAACAGCAAACAAAGUUGAGUAUCCGACCUCUCAACUUGUGACUGAUCGAUCAGCACCAACCUCAACGAGAUGCAUCAUUUGACAUUGCAGACAAAUCCUUUCUCUUUUUAAUGCAGCACUUAAGGAUGAACCACCCUGAUCUACUAAGAUGCACAGAUUCAACUCUGGCCCAGCAUCAUCCCCACACCUCAUCUGCCAUCAGUUUAAUUUAAUGUCUGUCAAUUGCAAAUGCUAUUUAUUUCAGUUAUAUUACAACUUAAUGUUAACUUUAAUUGAGACUAGUAUUGUGUAAAGCUGGGGUUUCCAAACUUUUCAUUUCAAAACCUAUUAGACAAGUGUAAUCUAUUCUAGACCCACUAAAAUAUUUUUACAUAUACAUUUUUUUAAUGGGGUAAAACACAUUUGUUCUCUUUCAGUGGAGUCAUUUUAUUUUCAUAAUAUUUCAUAAUGUAAAGCAGUGGUUCUUAACGUUAUUCCUCGAGGCCCACUGCUCUGCACAUUUUGUAUGUCUCUUUUAUCUGACAGACUCAGUUCAGUUCAUUGAGAUCUCUUCUAAUGAGCUGAUGAUUUGAAUCAG